This 260-nucleotide ribosomal RNA is filed under the name uncultured bacterium. RNAcentral's name for it is "partial 16S ribosomal RNA". It matches the Rfam family "Bacterial small subunit ribosomal RNA", at positions 793 to 1055 of the family's 1533-position model. The record is from RNAcentral.
GUCCACGCCGUAAACGAUGUCUACUAGCCGUUGGGAGCCUUGAGCUCUUAGUGGCGCAGCUAACGCACUAAGUAGACCGCCUGGGAGUACGGUCGCAAGAUUAAACUCAAAUGAAUUGACGGGGCCCGCACAAGCGGUGGAGCAUGUGGUUUAAUUCGACGCAACGCGAAGAACCUUACCAGGUCUUGACAUCCAGAGAACUUUCCAGAGAUGGAUUGGUGCCUUCGGGAGCUCUGAGACAGGUGCUGCAUGGCUGUCGU